GAUGAACGCUGGCGGCGUGCCUAAUACAUGCAAGUCGAGCGAACAGACGAGGAGCUUGCUCCUCUGACGUUAGCGGCGGACGGGUGAGUAACACAUGGAUAACCUACCUAUAAGACUGGGAUAACUUCGGGAAACCGGAGCUAAUACCGGAUAAUAUAUUGAACCGCAUGGUUCAAUAGUGAAAGACGGUUUUGCUGUCACUUAUAGAUGGAUCCGCGCCGCAUUAGCUAGUUGGUAAGGUAACGGCUUACCAGGGCAACGAUGCGUAGCCGACCUGAGAGGGUGAUCGGCCACACUGGAACUGAGACACGGUCCAGACUCCUACGGGAGGCAGCAGUAGGGAAUCUUCCGCAAUGGGCGAAAGCUUGACGGAGCAACGCCGCGUGAGUGAUGAAGGUCUUCGGAUCGUAAAACUCUGUUAUUAGGGAAGAACAAAUGUGUAAGUAACUAUGCACGUCUUGACGGUACCUAAUCAGAAAGCCACGGCUAACUACGUG
This 497-nucleotide ribosomal RNA is filed under the name uncultured bacterium. Its description in RNAcentral is "partial 16S ribosomal RNA". It matches the Rfam family "Bacterial small subunit ribosomal RNA", at positions 28 to 507 of the family's 1533-position model. The record is from RNAcentral.